This 370-nucleotide ribosomal RNA is filed under the name uncultured bacterium. RNAcentral's name for it is "bacterial SSU rRNA". It matches the Rfam family "Bacterial small subunit ribosomal RNA", at positions 1045 to 1437 of the family's 1533-position model. The record is from RNAcentral.
AUGGCUGUCGUCAGCUCGUGUCGUGAGAUGUUCGGUUAAGUCCGGCAACGAGCGCAACCCACAUCUUUAGUUGCCAGCAGUUCGGCUGGGCACUCUAAAGAAACUGCCCGUGAUAAGCGGGAGGAAGGUGUGGAUGACGUCAAGUCCUCAUGGCCCUUACGGGUUGGGCUACACACGUGCUACAAUGGUAGUGACAAUGGGUUAAUCCCAAAAAGCUAUCUCAGUUCGGAUUGGGGUCUGCAACUCGACCCCAUGAAGUCGGAAUCGCUAGUAAUCGCGUAACAGCAUGACGCGGUGAAUACGUUCCCGGGCCUUGUACACACCGCCCGUGGGGCGGGGGCGGCGGGCCGGGCGCGGGGCGCGGCGGGCG